RNAcentral lists this ribosomal RNA (253 nucleotides) under uncultured bacterium. Its description in RNAcentral is "partial 16S ribosomal RNA". It matches the Rfam family "Bacterial small subunit ribosomal RNA", at positions 524 to 776 of the family's 1533-position model. The record is from RNAcentral.
UACGGAGGGGGCUAGCGUUGCUCGGAAUUACUGGGCGUAAAGCGCACGUAGGCGGCUUUGCAAGUCAGAGGUGAAAUCCCGGGGCUCAACCCCGGAAUUGCCUUUGAGACUGCAUCGCUAGAAUUGUGGAGAGGUAAGUGGAAUUCCGAGUGUAGAGGUGAAAUUCGUAGAUAUUCGGAAGAACACCAGUGGCGAAGGCGACUUACUGGACACAUAUUGACGCUGAGGUGCGAAAGCGUGGGGAGCAAACAGG